AUGGCGCCGUGGUCUGAACUCCCAGAGGACCUCCUAGCCCUGGUCUUUGCGCGCAUCUUUUUCCCCGUCGACCGUGCUCGCUUUCAGGCCGUGUGCCGUUCUUGGCGCUCUGCAGCGCCCGCCCCUGCGCGGCAGCUUCCGUGGAUCGUGUUCCCGAAUGGCGGGGUCAUGACCCCCUUUGACCGUGUUGUGCAUCGCAUCGGCUCCUACCCCAAAGCCAUAACGACCGUGCUUGGCACCAGCUUGUCUCCUUGCCCAAGACGACGACAUGCAUUGGCUCUACCGAUGGUUGGAUCGCCAUCGACGACCGUGUGGGCAAGAUGCAUAGAAACUACUUGUUGCACAACAUGUUUUCUGGCACGACAUUGUCUCUCCCCGAGCUGGACGCUGCCAUCGGCCAUGUUUCCAAGCUUUUCAACAUACGCAAGUUGCCCCAUCAUCUUAACCCGGGUUGGGAAGGGCGUGUGGUUGCCCGAGUCUUAUGCAGCUCCCCUCGUCAGCAUCAUCGAUGUUGCUUUUCUUGGAGACAGGCUUUACGGGGUCACGAAGGAUGAGGAUCUCGUCUUCCUUGACAUCGCCUUCAAUGAUAGCGGCGUACCCAUGGUUACCGGUGGCAAGUGUGUCAUCGGAGAAGGUUUUGACUAUGAUGAUUACGGCGACCAUGACACAGAGGAUGAUGACUUGACCAAGAUGAGGAAGAAGGAUAUGGUUCCUCAAGGAUUCCGAUAUAUUAUUGUAGACGAGACCAUGCAGCAUGACAUCAAAACCAUGUGGUACCUGAUCGAGUCGCGUGGGAAGCUGCUCAUGGUUAGGCGACAAGUGGUAUCGCCCUUUGAGUUCACUCACAUGAUAGAGGUUUUUGAGGCCGACAUGAGUGCAGCCAUGUGGGUGCCGGUGGAGGCGGGGCUAGAGGACCAGGCGCUUUUCAUCAGCAGACGAUUCAGCAAGUCUGUCUCUGCUGCUUUCAGCACGGCGAUACAAAAAGAUGCUAUUUAUUUUGCUGACACGGAAGAUGUAUUCGACAUGAGAUCCCAAACAGUGAGUGCCCAAGGGGAUGAUUUCGAUAGCUACAACGCAUGCCUAAGUCUUGAAUAUCUUGGUCAAGAAUUUUGCCUUAGGGCAAUAUGUGCUUUCACGCCCUCUGAUUGCGACUGCCGACGGUCGCGCGCUGGUGAAUGGCAGCGUGCGCGGAGGUGGCGUGCUGUGACGUCGUGCGUGCGGCGAGCGUGGAGGCGCUGCGCGGUGGUGCAGAGCCCGCGGAGGGCGACACGGUGCAGUGGCGCGGAGGUGCUGCACGGCAGCAUGGAAACCACGGCGGCCGAUGACCGUGUUGGUGCAGUCACGCGUUGA
This 1350-nucleotide ribosomal RNA is filed under the name Triticum aestivum (bread wheat). RNAcentral describes it as "partial small subunit ribosomal RNA". Lineage: Eukaryota; Viridiplantae; Streptophyta; Magnoliopsida; Poales; Poaceae. The record is from RNAcentral.